GAAAGUAUAGCUCAGUGGUAGAGUGUGUGCUUAGCAUGCACGAGGCCCUAGGUUCAAUCCUCAGUACCUCCA
This 72-nucleotide transfer RNA is filed under the name Camelus bactrianus (Bactrian camel). It matches the Rfam family "tRNA". From Rfam's summary of the family: Transfer RNA (tRNA) molecules are approximately 80 nucleotides in length. Their secondary structure includes four short double-helical elements and three loops (D, anti-codon, and T loops). Further hydrogen bonds mediate the characteristic L-shaped molecular structure. tRNAs have two regions of fundamental functional importance: the anti-codon, which is responsible for specific mRNA codon recognition, and the 3' end, to which the tRNAs corresponding amino acid is attached (by aminoacyl-tRNA synthetases). tRNAs cope with the degeneracy of the genetic code in two manners: having more than one tRNA (with a specific anti-codon) for a particular amino acid; and 'wobble' base-pairing, i.e. permitting non-standard base-pairing at the 3rd anti-codon position. The record is from Rfam by way of RNAcentral. RNAcentral also lists the same sequence under 2 other names. Lineage: Eukaryota; Metazoa; Chordata; Mammalia; Artiodactyla; Camelidae.